This 513-nucleotide ribosomal RNA is filed under the name uncultured bacterium. RNAcentral's name for it is "bacterial SSU rRNA". It matches the Rfam family "Bacterial small subunit ribosomal RNA", at positions 35 to 518 of the family's 1533-position model. The record is from RNAcentral.
AACGGCUGGCGGCGUGCCUAAUACAUGCAAGUCGAACGGUCUUUCUAUGGAAGCUUGCUCCACUGAAAAGAUAGUGGCGAACGGGUGAGUAACACGUGGGUAACCUGCCCAUAAGAGGGGGAUAACAUCCGGAAACGGGUGCUAAUACCGCAUAGUUUUCUUGAUCGCAUGAUCGGGAAAGGAAAGACGGCCUUUGUGCUGUCGCUUAUGGAUGGACCCGCGGCGUAUUAGUUAGUUGGUGAGGUAACGGCUCACCAAGACGAUGAUACGUAGCCGACCUGAGAGGGUGAUCGGCCACAUUGGGACUGAGACACGGCCCAAACUCCUACGGGAGGCAGCAGUAGGGAAUCUUCCGCAAUGGACGAAAGUCUGACGGAGCAACGCCGCGUGAGUGAAAGAAGGUUUUCGGAUCGUAAAACUCUGUUGUCAGAGAAGAACAAGUUGGAGAGUAACUGCUCCAGCCUUGACGGUAUCUGACCAGAAAGCCACGGCUAACUACGUGCCAGCCGCGGC